GUCCACGCUGUAAACGAUGAGUGCUAGGUGUUGUGGGUAUUGACCCCCGCGGUGCCGUAGCUAACGCGUUAAGCACUCCGCCUGGGGAGGUACGGCCGCAAGGCUAAAACUACAAAGGAAUUGACGGGGGCCCGGCACAAGCGGUGGAGCAUGUGGUUUAAUUUCGACGCAACGCGCAGAACCUUACCAGGGCUAGAAAAGGUAGGAACCCGGAUGAAAGUCUGGGGUGCCCGCAAGGGAAUCUACAUCCAGGUGCUGCAUGGCUGUCGU
RNAcentral lists this ribosomal RNA (270 nucleotides) under uncultured bacterium. RNAcentral describes it as "partial 16S ribosomal RNA". It matches the Rfam family "Bacterial small subunit ribosomal RNA", at positions 793 to 1055 of the family's 1533-position model. The record is from RNAcentral.